RNAcentral lists this ribosomal RNA (498 nucleotides) under uncultured bacterium. RNAcentral's name for it is "bacterial SSU rRNA". It matches the Rfam family "Bacterial small subunit ribosomal RNA", at positions 28 to 521 of the family's 1533-position model. The record is from RNAcentral.
AACGAACGCUGGCGGCGCGCUUAACACAUGCAAGUCGAACGAGAAGGCGUAGCAAUACGCUUGUACAGUGGCGAACGGGUGAGUAAUACGUGGGCGACCUACCCUCGAGUGGGGAAUAACCCGCCGAAAGGCGGGCUAAUGCCGCGUACGCUUCCAUCUUUAUGGAGGUGGAAGGAAAGCCGUGCCGUGGGCACGGCGCUCAAGGAUGGGCUCACGUCCUAUCAGCUUGUUGGAGGGUAACGGCCUACCAAGGCUCCGACGGGUAGCUGGUCUGAGAGGACGAUCAGCCACACUGGCACUGCGACACGGGCCAGACUCCUACGGGAGGCAGCAGUGAGGAAUAUUGCGCAAUGGGCGAAAGCCUGACGCAGCGACGCCGCGUGGGGGAUGAAGGUCUUCGGAUUGUAAACCCCUUUCGGGAGGGAAGAUGGGACGGGCAACCGUUCGGACGGUACCUCCAGAAGCAGCCACGGCUAACUUCGUGCCAGCAGCCGCCGU